UUUUUUUUUUUUUAAAUGUGAGGUGAAACGGUGAGAAGAAAUGAAAUGCCUGGCACCAUCCCAACCCCCUGCUGACUGCCCACAGCGCAUGCAGAAACAGAGCAGCCCAUUUUCACAGCAUGAGACAGCUACGGCAACAAGAGCGUUCGGACAGGGGACGGAGACUGCAUUUUGAUACAAGUUGAGCUUCUUGUGUUAUCUCAGAAAUCUUAAGGUGCAGCACCUGGGCAGACCUGCAAACCAGACACAAACAAGACGUGAUUGUGCAGACAGUGCCAAGGACAACGGCAGUCCCAGAGCCAGGCAGGAGGAGACAGCAUACCAUUUUAAGGGGAUACAGACGAGAGCCUACAAGCAUUUGCUUGUUGCCUUUGGGGGACUUGUGAGGAUGAGACAAUUGCUCUCAGCAAAAGGAAUGGCAUUCGUGCAGCUGAUCCCCCUCCGCUCCUUCUGCAUUACUCACAGAGGGCCCUCACAGCCAGUGCAUCUGGAAUCUCUUUUCCCCUGCAUUCUUCCACAUGUCUGCAGCUAAGAAUAGUGUCUUUUCUCAGAAACAUAAAACUCUGAAGUGAGCUUUUAAAUAAAUGUUGGCCAUGUCAGGCUCUCCAGGACAGACAGCAUGGGCCAGGCAAUUUGAGCACCUGAUCCAGGGGUGGUCACAUAACUGUUUACAUGAAACAAGAAGCACAAAUGUGGCAGUCUCAAAAUUACUGUUUUCUAUGAAGACAAAAUGUUUGGGAGGAAAAUUUUUACAGGCUGCUGCUCAGACGUAGAAGCUGAUGUAAACUAGUAGUCAAUGAGGCUCUGCCAAUGUGAAAACAUCCUGGGGAAGAUGGCCUGUGACAAAGAGCCCUCUCUUUGUCUCUUCACAACACUGGAGCCUCCUGUGAGGGCCAGGUCUUGCCCCUGCAUUACUUUCCCUUCCUUGCAUUUUUGGCUGUAAAGAUUCAGUGCAGCUCACUCCGUUGGACGUCUUGCAGAAAAGCAUGCUUCUGAACUAACUUUUUCCACUGCAGAAAUACAGAAUGGUUUAAAGAACACUUGACAUGAACCCGGACUCUGAUCCCACCGAGCAGCUUCCUGGAGGAGCAACUUGAACUGGGUAGCUUGGGACAUUUCACUCAGAUUAACAGCACAGGAGCAUUUGAGCAUAAAGAACACACAAUUUGACUCUUCUGCUGAAAACCAGCAGCCAAAAUCCUUUCCAGACUCCCACAGCAGCCAAAGAAACCCAACUCCUUUUCAAACAAUGAUGGUGAAUAAAGGCUUGUUGAAUGGGGUGGCCAAAGAAAAGACAGUUGUGCCCAGACUCUCUAAACCUUGGACCAUCAGUGAACUGUUCAGAGAAACUGGGGGUACUUCAAUUUUAAAUUACUUGCAUAGGAUUGCUGUGAGUCUGUGGAAGCUUUCAACAUUUCUGCAACUAUGAGGAACGGGUUCAGCAGAGAAAUUUUAGAGAAAGACUGAAUUAAACAGGGCCCCAAAACGUAUGAACAGGCCAAUUUUAGCUCUGCAAGCUGCUAUGCCUGGAGAGAAAUAUCAAGAGGAUAAUUCCCUCCUCACUGAGAACACACAUCUGAGAAGCAAGGGACAAAACAUUCAGCAGGACCUCUGUGUUUUCUUUCUGCUUCUCCUGGAACUUUUGUCAUAAACGGCUACGCUGUGUUUAUAUUUGCUCCAGAACUUCCCUGUUACCAAAGUGAUAUUUUUAACUGCAAAGCAUCAAUGGUUUCCCUUUUCACCAUGGAGAAUAAAUCACUGAGCUCAAAACAAGCUGUUCCUGCAGCUUUUGUCUUUCUAGGGACUUGCUUUUUCUUUUUUCUCUCUGAGCAGUGGGGAAAUUCAUGCUGGGUUUUAUCUACUGCAGAGAAAACUAUGAACCAAAUGCAGUCUGUGUUUUCUCUUUCACCUUUCUCCCACAUUGUGUCUCCCCUCUUAUACAGCUCAGUCUCAAAAAUAUUUUGGUGAAACGAGACUGUCAUGUUCAACAGAUGACUGCCAGAAUAAAUCAGAGGAAGGUCGUGUACUCAAGAUAUAAUCACAUCAAGAAGGUUUAUGAGGUUCUUGGAAGAACUUCACCCCAGCAGAAGAGAUGUGUAAGCAAAAAACCUUUAUGCAUCAAUCCCUGGCAAGUAUAAAACAGCAGAGGGGUCCUCCCAGAGCCCAGGGAUUGCCAGCUCUUCUCCUGGAGGCCUACCUUGUUUUAUCUCUGCUUUCCUUCCCAGUUUUCUAAUGUGGACCCUGGCCGCAGAAAUUCUCCCAAGGAAAGAGGGGCAGCAACAAAUAAUGGUUGCAAACCAUUUAUGAGUCUGUGCACUGCUGCACCAUCGAGUAAAUCUUGACAAGGGAAAACCACCAAGAGGACCCCUAUGGAGGCCAUCUUUGGUGUUUCCCAUGUUGCUGGGAAACAGGUACCAAACGUAAUAAUCUCCUCCUGUUGCAGAGCAAAAAGGAGUAGAUUCCUCCUUUCUGUUGAUCCAGCAGCCAAAACAAAAGACAGCAUGUGCAUGUGUCUUGUUCAAGCAAUAUAACCAAGUGCAAGCAACAGGACUGGCACUGCUUAAUGGGGCAGUGGUUUUACCAUUUGUAAGACGAAUGACACAUUUCCAAGUUCUUGAAAUGCAGAGUGCUUUUUUUUGUUUUUAUAA
This is a long non-coding RNA of Cygnus olor (mute swan), 2648 nucleotides long. RefSeq lists it as uncharacterized. Lineage: Eukaryota; Metazoa; Chordata; Aves; Anseriformes; Anatidae. The record is from RefSeq and is a predicted model, not a curated record. The transcript is spliced from 4 exons.